UACAGGGGGUGCAAACGUUGCUCGGAAUUAUUGGGCGUAAAGCGCGCGUAGGCGGCCGCUUAAGUCGGAUGUGAAAGCCCCUGGCUCAACUGGGGAAGUGCACCCGAAACUGAGUGGCUUGAGUACUAAAGAGGGUCGCGGAAUUCCCGGUGUAGAGGUGAAAUUCGUAGAUAUCGGGAGGAACACCGGUGGCGAAGGCGGCGACCUGGGUAGAUACUGACGCUGAGGCGCGAAAGCGUGGGGAUCGAACAGG
RNAcentral lists this ribosomal RNA (253 nucleotides) under uncultured bacterium. Its description in RNAcentral is "partial 16S ribosomal RNA". It matches the Rfam family "Bacterial small subunit ribosomal RNA", at positions 524 to 776 of the family's 1533-position model. The record is from RNAcentral.